This 1118-nucleotide ribosomal RNA is filed under the name Schizopygopsis stoliczkai (false osman). RNAcentral describes it as "partial 16S ribosomal RNA". It matches the Rfam family "Bacterial large subunit ribosomal RNA", at positions 157 to 2065 of the family's 2925-position model. Lineage: Eukaryota; Metazoa; Chordata; Actinopteri; Cypriniformes; Cyprinidae. The record is from RNAcentral.
GCCAAACAGCUAGCUCAAUUACCCAAUAACUAAACAAUAUAAAUAAAACAAAAUAAGCCUAACACCAAAAAUUAAAUCAUUCUUUUACCUUAGUAUGGGCGACAGAAAAGGUUACACCUGGAGCAAUAGAAAAAGUACCGCAAGGGAAAGCUGAAAGAGAAAUGAAAUAACUUAUAUAAGCACCAAAAAGCAAAGAUUAAAUCUUGUACCUUUCGCAUCAUGAUUUAGCCAGUAUAUCCAAGCAAAGAGACCUUUAGUUUGAAACCCCGAAACCAAAUGAGCUACCCCGAGACAGCCUAUUAAGGGCCAACCCGUCUCUGUGGCAAAAGAGUGGGAAGAGCUCCGGGUAGAGGUGACAGACCUACCGAACUUGGUGAUAGCUGGUUGCCUAAGAAGUGAAUAGAAGUUCAGCCUCGUACUCCCUGAAUCAAAAGAUAUAAAAAGAUAUUAGAGGGAAAUAUAUGAGAGUUAGUUAAAGGGGGUACAGCCCCUUUAACAAAGGACACAACCUUUCCAGGAGGAUAAAGAUCAUAAUACAUAAGACAUCCUGUUCUAGUGGGCCUAAAGGCAGCCAUCUAAACAGAAAGCGUUAAAGCUCAGACAGAAAUAAGUUUAUUAUUCCGACAAGAAAUCUUACUCCCCUAAAUAUUAUUAGGCCAGCCCAUGCCCACAUGGGAGAGACUAUGCUAAAAUGAGUAACAAGAAGGCCAGCCCUUCUCCAAGCACAAGUGUAAGCCAAACCGGACCGACCAUUGGCAAUUAACGAACUCAACCCGAGAGAGUAAUGUGUAUUACAACGAAACCAGGAAGAACCCACAAUUAACCCAUCGUUACCCCCACACUGGCGUGCUAUUAAAGGAAAGACUAAAAGAAGGGAAAGGAACUCGGCAAACACAAGCCUCGCCUGUUUACCAAAAACAUCGCCUCCUGCAACACAACCAAGUAUAGGAGGUCCAGCCUGCCCAGUGACUACAAGUUCAACGGCCGCGGUAUUUUGACCGUGCAAAGGUAGCGCAAUCACUUGUCUCUUAAAUGGAGACCUGUAUGAAUGGCUAAACGAGGGCUUAACUGUCUCCCCCCUCCAGUCAGUGAAAUUGAUCUACCCGUGCAGAAGCGGG